RNAcentral lists this ribosomal RNA (644 nucleotides) under uncultured bacterium. RNAcentral describes it as "bacterial SSU rRNA". It matches the Rfam family "Bacterial small subunit ribosomal RNA", at positions 9 to 655 of the family's 1533-position model. The record is from RNAcentral.
GAGUUUGAUCAUGGCUCAGAUUGAACGCUGGCGGCAUGCCUUACACAUGCAAGUCGAACGGUAACAGGUUAAGCUGACGAGUGGCGAACGGGUGAGUAAUAUAUCGGAACGUGCCCAAUCGUGGGGGAUAACGCAGCGAAAGUUGUGCUAAUACCGCAUAAGAUCUACGGAUGAAAGCGGGGGAUCGCAAGACCUCGCGCGAAUGGAGCGGCCGAUAUCAGAUUAGCUAGUUGGCGGGGUAAAAGCCCACCAAGGCGACGAUCUGUAGCUGGUCUGAGAGGACGACCAGCCACACUGGGACUGAGACACGGCCCAGACUCCUACGGGAGGCAGCAGUGGGGAAUUUUGGACAAUGGACGCAAGUCUAAUCCAGCAAUGCCGCGUGCAGGAUGAAGGCCUUCGGGUUGUAAACUGCUUUUGUACGGAGCGAAAAGGUCCACCCUAAUACGGUGGGCCCAUGACGGUACCGUAAGAAUAAGCACCGGCUAACUACGUGCCAGCAGCCGCGGUAAUACGUAGGGUGCAAGCGUUAAUCGGAAUUACUGGGCGUAAAGCGUGCACAGGCGGUUAUAUAAGACAGAUGUGAAAUCCCCGGGCUCAACCUGGGACCUGCAUUUGUGACUGUAUAGCUAGAGUACGGUAGA